RNAcentral lists this ribosomal RNA (254 nucleotides) under uncultured bacterium. RNAcentral's name for it is "partial 16S ribosomal RNA". It matches the Rfam family "Bacterial small subunit ribosomal RNA", at positions 524 to 777 of the family's 1533-position model. The record is from RNAcentral.
UACGAAGGGGCUAGCGUUGCUCGGAAUUACUGGGCGUAAAGGGCGCGUAGGCGGAUAUCUAAGUUGGGGGUGAAAUCCCGGGGCUCAACCUCGGAAUUGCCUUCAAAACUGGGUAUCUUGAGUUCGGGAGAGGUGAGUGGAACUCCGAGUGUAGAGGUGAAAUUCGUAGAUAUUCGGAAGAACACCAGUGGCGAAGGCGACUCACUGGCCCGAUACUGACGCUGAGGCGCGGAAAGCGUGGGGAGCAAACAGGG